RNAcentral lists this ribosomal RNA (2903 nucleotides) under Salmonella enterica subsp. enterica serovar Kiambu. Its description in RNAcentral is "bacterial LSU rRNA". It matches the Rfam family "Bacterial large subunit ribosomal RNA". The record is from RNAcentral. Lineage: Bacteria; Pseudomonadati; Pseudomonadota; Gammaproteobacteria; Enterobacterales; Enterobacteriaceae.
UUAAGCGACUAAGCGUACACGGUGGAUGCCCUGGCAGUCAGAGGCGAUGAAGGGCGUGCUAAUCUGCGAUAAGCGCCGGUAAGGUGAUAUGAACCGUUAUAACCGGCGAUACCCGAAUGGGGAAACCCAGUGUGACUCGUCACACUAUCAUUAACUGAAUCCAUAGGUUAAUGAGGCGAACCGGGGGAACUGAAACAUCUAAGUACCCCGAGGAAAAGAAAUCAACCGAGAUUCCCCCAGUAGCGGCGAGCGAACGGGGAGGAGCCCAGAGCCUGAAUCAGCAUGUGUGUUAGUGGAAGCGUCUGGAAAGGCGCGCGAUACAGGGUGACAGCCCCGUACACAAAAGCGCAUGUGCUGUGAGCUCGAUGAGUAGGGCGGGACACGUGGUAUCCUGUCUGAAUAUGGGGGGACCAUCCUCCAAGGCUAAAUACUCCUGACUGACCGAUAGUGAACCAGUACCGUGAGGGAAAGGCGAAAAGAACCCCGGCGAGGGGAGUGAAAAAGAACCUGAAACCGUGUACGUACAAGCAGUGGGAGCACCCUUUUGGGUGUGACUGCGUACCUUUUGUAUAAUGGGUCAGCGACUUAUAUUCUGUAGCAAGGUUAACCGAAUAGGGGAGCCGGAGGGAAACCGAGUCUUAAUUGGGCGUUAAGUUGCAGGGUAUAGACCCGAAACCCGGUGAUCUAGCCAUGGGCAGGUUGAAGGUUGGGUAACACUAACUGGAGGACCGAACCGACUAAUGUUGAAAAAUUAGCGGAUGACCUGUGGCUGGGGGUGAAAGGCCAAUCAAACCGGGAGAUAGCUGGUUCUCCCCGAAAGCUAUUUAGGUAGCGCCUCGUGAAUUCAUCUCCGGGGGUAGAGCACUGUUUCGGCUAGGGGGCCAUCCCGGCUUACCAACCCGAUGCAAACUGCGAAUACCGGAGAAUGUUAUCACGGGAGACACACGGCGGGUGCUAACGUCCGUCGUGAAGAGGGAAACAACCCAGACCGCCAGCUAAGGUCCCAAAGUCAUGGUUAAGUGGGAAACGAUGUGGGAAGGCCCAGACAGCCAGGAUGUUGGCUUAGAAGCAGCCAUCAUUUAAAGAAAGCGUAAUAGCUCACUGGUCGAGUCGGCCUGCGCGGAAGAUGUAACGGGGCUAAACCAUGCACCGAAGCUGCGGCAGCGACACUGUGUGUUGUUGGGUAGGGGAGCGUUCUGUAAGCCUGUGAAGGUGUGCUGUGAGGCAUGCUGGAGGUAUCAGAAGUGCGAAUGCUGACAUAAGUAACGAUAAAGCGGGUGAAAAGCCCGCUCGCCGGAAGACCAAGGGUUCCUGUCCAACGUUAAUCGGGGCAGGGUGAGUCGACCCCUAAGGCGAGGCCGAAAGGCGUAGUCGAUGGGAAACGGGUUAAUAUUCCCGUACUUGGUGUUACUGCGAAGGGGGGACGGAGAAGGCUAUGUUGGCCGGGCGACGGUUGUCCCGGUUUAAGCGUGUAGGUGUGUGUUCCAGGUAAAUCCGGUUCACUUUAACACUGAGGCGUGACGACGAGGCACUACGGUGCUGAAGCAACAAAUGCCCUGCUUCCAGGAAAAGCCUCUAAGCAUCAGGUAACAUCAAAUCGUACCCCAAACCGACACAGGUGGUCAGGUAGAGAAUACCAAGGCGCUUGAGAGAACUCGGGUGAAGGAACUAGGCAAAAUGGUGCCGUAACUUCGGGAGAAGGCACGCUGACACGUAGGUGAAGUGAUUUACUCAUGGAGCUGAAGUCAGUCGAAGAUACCAGCUGGCUGCAACUGUUUAUUAAAAACACAGCACUGUGCAAACACGAAAGUGGACGUAUACGGUGUGACGCCUGCCCGGUGCCGGAAGGUUAAUUGAUGGGGUCAGCGCAAGCGAAGCUCCUGAUCGAAGCCCCGGUAAACGGCGGCCGUAACUAUAACGGUCCUAAGGUAGCGAAAUUCCUUGUCGGGUAAGUUCCGACCUGCACGAAUGGCGUAAUGAUGGCCAGGCUGUCUCCACCCGAGACUCAGUGAAAUUGAACUCGCUGUGAAGAUGCAGUGUACCCGCGGCAAGACGGAAAGACCCCGUGAACCUUUACUAUAGCUUGACACUGAACAUUGAGCCUUGAUGUGUAGGAUAGGUGGGAGGCUUUGAAGUGUGGACGCCAGUCUGCAUGGAGCCGACCUUGAAAUACCACCCUUUAAUGUUUGAUGUUCUAACGUGGACCCGUGAUCCGGGUUGCGGACAGUGUCUGGUGGGUAGUUUGACUGGGGCGGUCUCCUCCUAAAGAGUAACGGAGGAGCACGAAGGUUGGCUAAUCCUGGUCGGACAUCAGGAGGUUAGUGCAAUGGCAUAAGCCAGCUUGACUGCGAGCGUGACGGCGCGAGCAGGUGCGAAAGCAGGUCAUAGUGAUCCGGUGGUUCUGAAUGGAAGGGCCAUCGCUCAACGGAUAAAAGGUACUCCGGGGAUAACAGGCUGAUACCGCCCAAGAGUUCAUAUCGACGGCGGUGUUUGGCACCUCGAUGUCGGCUCAUCACAUCCUGGGGCUGAAGUAGGUCCCAAGGGUAUGGCUGUUCGCCAUUUAAAGUGGUACGCGAGCUGGGUUUAGAACGUCGUGAGACAGUUCGGUCCCUAUCUGCCGUGGGCGCUGGAGAACUGAGGGGGGCUGCUCCUAGUACGAGAGGACCGGAGUGGACGCAUCACUGGUGUUCGGGUUGUCAUGCCAAUGGCACUGCCCGGUAGCUAAAUGCGGAAGAGAUAAGUGCUGAAAGCAUCUAAGCACGAAACUUGCCCCGAGAUGAGUUCUCCCUGAGACUUAGAGUCUCCUGAAGGAACGUUGAAGACGACGACGUUGAUAGGCCGGGUGUGUAAGCGCAGCGAUGCGUUGAGCUAACCGGUACUAAUGAACCGUGAGGCUUAACCUU